UGUCCAGGGAAUCGAACCCACAGUGUUCCGCUUACCGGGCAGAUGCCAUGUCCACUAAGCUACCCUGGAC
Molecule: transfer RNA, 70 nt
Filed under: Cordylochernes scorpioides
Lineage: Eukaryota; Metazoa; Arthropoda; Arachnida; Pseudoscorpiones; Chernetidae
Description: tRNA-Thr
Source: RNAcentral